UCUUCAACACCUCCCUCUUUCUUCUUUAUGUUCUUUAUUUUCCAACAAAUUUCUGAUGCUCCAUUCUAUCAAUUUCUUUCUUACUUGGGACUGUGAAGCCACCAAGUGAGAAGGAAAUUGAUUUAGUCGAGUAUCAAGGCACAACAUCAUCACUAUCUGCUGCGAUUUCUCUUUAUGAGUUUUCGCUUCAGCCUCUCUUUAAAUUCUUUGUUUAUUUAUUUAUUUAUAUGUAUCACUAACUUCGAACCCACAGUUUUGUCAAUAUAUCCAUAUAUUUGUGUUUUGCAGAUUUUAUAUGUGAAUAUGGCAAAGAUGACACUCCACUUUGUUAUUGUUAUUAUCGGAUUAUUGUUUAACCAUACCUGUACGUUCACAGGAAGUGAGAAGGUAUCCCCGGUGCCAAAGGACAAAUCAAUGAUUUCUAACUUUGAUCUAUUUAGCAGACAAAUUCAGCUCCACUUCCUUAGUAUAUUAUUAAUUAUUUCUAACUUGCGGCUUAAAUUCUUCGCCUCCUUCUCAACUUACACAAAACCUUUUUUGUUCCCUAGAAAAAAUUACAAACAAAAUAUGCAGAUGUUUAUCCUAUAGACUUGGUGCUGGUGCUUUUCAAAGGACCCAUGGCUUAAUCUAAUUAAUUCAUGUUGUGAUUCUUAGAACUGAACAUCAAAUUCAAAAAAUGAAAGGAAAGAUGGAUUCUAAGUUAUUUUUUGUUUAGUGAUUUUACCUAUAUCUCAUUUUAUGUCAGGGGAAAAAGAGGAAAAUGAAAACGAUUUAUUCUUUUUCUCCUAUGAAGUUUUUUGUUUUUUUUUUUUUUUUUGGAGGGGGGGGGGGGGAGGGAGUAGUGGUCAUAAGGUAAAUGAACAUCAAUGUUUAUCUUCCUUGUAAUCUCAUGAGUUUGAGCUUUGGGGGCUACGUCCAUGUGGAUGAUAUGUAAAAUGGCAGGACAACGUCUUGAGAGGACGGACGUAUUUGGUGGAUGUGGGGCAGCGAACGUGCGACUGUGGAUUUAAAAGUUAGAAAGGUGGGAGCAUCGCGAGACCUGGCUAGUAUCGGUCGAUUUUAGCCAUCAACCAAGCAAUGACCGCGCGACUCUCACACUUUGAGUCGCCGAGUUUCUCACCGCUCAUAUAGAUCUCGUUGAAAAAGAAAUAUCUCAGCAUUAUCUCUAUUUAAUUUUGAUUUUUUCUAUUUUUAAUAUACCUCAAACAUAUUAUAGAUAAUCUCUACAACUUAAACUCACGAGUAAGUUAAAAAUAAACACCCAUAAUUAAUAUGCUGGGUUUAUGUCAUAAUUAUUUAAAAUAUCAUGUUUUAAAUAAAUCUCGACAUAUUAAGAUUCUCAUUAUAUAAUGUUGAUGAGGAUAUCAACUAGAGACAAAUUAUACAAAUUUUUAUUUAAAAGAAUUCCCGUAAGGGUGAAAUCUUAUUGAAGCGUCAAUAAUUCAGCUAAUAUGUUUCUUAUGUAUUGAAUCGAUGAAUGUACUAUUUGAUAACAAUAUCAUUUUUAUGUAAUGCUUAAACUCCUUGCAAAUUUUCAUGUUACAAUGAAUUUUUUGCAACAAUUUUAGUAUAUAGUCCUUUUUCUUCAAUAUAUAUACAUAUGAGAGUUAAUGUCUAAUAUCUAUUACAAAUUUUAAAAUUUAGCGGGUUACCCAUUUUUAUAGGCCUAAUGAUGCUCCCAGUCCAAUACAAUUUGCGUAUUUAAAAUUUAAUCCUAUUAUUUUAAUUAUUUAGAAUUUAAUUCCUUUACUCGUUUGGUUUAAUAAUUGAAAUUUAAUUGACAACAUUGUCAAAAGAUUUUUGUUGAAUUAGAUUUCAUAGUUUUUUUCUUUUUUUAAAUUGCU
RNAcentral lists this long non-coding RNA (1844 nucleotides) under Gossypium raimondii (Peruvian cotton). Its description in RNAcentral is "long non-coding RNA (GRAI_LNC005721)". Lineage: Eukaryota; Viridiplantae; Streptophyta; Magnoliopsida; Malvales; Malvaceae. The record is from RNAcentral.